RNAcentral lists this ribosomal RNA (377 nucleotides) under uncultured eukaryote. RNAcentral's name for it is "partial 18S ribosomal RNA". It matches the Rfam family "Eukaryotic small subunit ribosomal RNA", at positions 592 to 976 of the family's 1831-position model. The record is from RNAcentral.
CAAUAGCGUAUAUUAAAGUUGUUGCAGUUAAAAAGCUCGUAGUUGGAUUUCGGGGUGGCCUGGCUGGUCCGCCGCAAGGUGAGUACUGGUCAGCCGCCCUUCCUCUCGAAAGCCCCGACUGCUCUUUACUGCAGUGGUCGGGUAGUUCGGGACGUUUACUUUGAAAAAAUUAGAGUGUUCAAGGCAGGCUAUCGCCUGAAUACAUUAGUAUGGAAUAAUGGAAGAGGACCUCGGUCCUAUUUUGUUGGUUUCUAGGGCCGAAGUAAUGAUUAAGAGGGACAGUUGGGGGCAUUCGUAUUUAAUUGUCAGAGGUGAAAUUCUUGGAUUUAUGAAAGACGAACUAGUGCGAAAGCAUUUGCCAAGGAUGUUUUCAUUAA